AUGCAACGCGAAGAACCUUAACCUGGUCUUGACAUCCCGGAGACCCUUAGGAAACUAGGGGUGCUUCCACCUGGAAGAAUCUGGAGACAGGUGCUGCAUGGCUGUCGUCAGCUCGUGUCGUGAGAUGUUGGGGUUAAGUCCCGCAACGAGCGCAACCCUUGCCUUUAGUUGCCAGCAGUUCGGCUGGGCACUCUAAAGGGACUGCCGGUGUUAAACCGGAGGAAGGUGGGGAUGACGUCAAGUCCUCAUGGCCUUUAUGACCAGGGCUACACACGUACUACAAUGGCCGAUACAAAGGGCAGCGACACUGCGAGGUGAAGCCAAUCCCGUAAAAUCGGUCUCAGUCCGGAUUGGAGUCUGCAACUCGACUCCAUGAAGUUGGAAUCGCUAGUAAUCGUGGAUCAGCAUGCCACGGUGAAUACGUUCCCGGGCCUU
RNAcentral lists this ribosomal RNA (435 nucleotides) under uncultured Desulfobulbus sp. RNAcentral's name for it is "bacterial SSU rRNA". It matches the Rfam family "Bacterial small subunit ribosomal RNA", at positions 954 to 1382 of the family's 1533-position model. The record is from RNAcentral. Lineage: Bacteria; Pseudomonadati; Thermodesulfobacteriota; Desulfobulbia; Desulfobulbales; Desulfobulbaceae.